Piliocolobus tephrosceles (Ugandan red Colobus) is the source of this 1221-nucleotide long non-coding RNA. RefSeq lists it as uncharacterized. The transcript has 2 exons. Lineage: Eukaryota; Metazoa; Chordata; Mammalia; Primates; Cercopithecidae. The record is from RefSeq and is a predicted model, not a curated record.
CCACUUUGCGGCUGCGGAUGAGCACGAUGCGCGGCGUGUCGUACUCGAACAGGAAGGCCGCCAGCGCGGCGCAGCAGCUCGCCAUGGCCACGCCACUUGCUCCCCGUCCCCGAGCCCGUCUGGGUCCCAGUCCCCGGUCGGAGCCCCGCCCAGUCCGCCCGGCCUGCCCGCAACGCCGUCAUCACGGGGAGGGCCCGGAAGGAGGCGGCACCGGGCGGUCGGGGCCCGAGGCCCGGGGCCUAGGGGAGGGCGCCACCUCCCCGUCUGGAACUGUGACCCUCUAGGGGGCAUGGAACUCGCGGGGAGGGGGUGGCCUUGCCCUUGGCCUUGAGGAAAAGGCUCCUUCAAAAGGCUGGCGAGGGGCCGGGCGCGGUGGCUCACACCUGUCAUCCCAGCAGUUUCGGAGGCCGAGGUGAUUGGAACUGAUUUGACAUAACCAUCGCAUGCAUGGAGAAGCUGAGAACAGUAAUCUGCAGAAGCAAAAUAAUGAAACAGCUGGACAAAGACGCACAGAGGUGAGAGAGACAAAGAGAACAGCCUCUGGUUUCUGCUGAGCUUCCACUUCCUGGUUUUGUCCCCUCCCCCCGUUCACCUUUACCUUUGAGAUACCGCCAUAAUCUUAUAAUAAAUGUUCAUUUUUUCCUUAAGCGACUAGCCUUCUGAAACUUGGAAUUGAAAAGACUAUGGCUAUAGCCCUAGGAUCUAACAGAUGAAAAAUGUAUUAUGUCACCAGUAAAGUAGGUGGUAAAAGAAACAUUUGUUUGAAUGCAGUAAAUUAGAAAGAGGUGGGAUGCAUUGCCCAAGGCCACCAGUACUAAGAGCAGCAAUACACAAAUAGCCCAUAAAAAAGAAAUGUUUCUAUAAAAAGCAGAGCCAAGAACUCCAAAAAACUCAUCAGUCUGGGGCCAUUUAGUUUAGAGACCUCAAUAUGCCUUAGGGUGUCAUUUGGUUACAGUUAUGUAAGACUGACAUUUGUCACAAUGGCCUUGAGCUGCAAAAGGCCAGUCAGAAGAGACAGUGUCAUUUGUUCAGGAGAAUCUAUAAUGAAAAAAUGUUUAAAUUAAAUGUUUAGGCAUUUAAAGAUGUAAGACUUGCUUAUCUGGCACAUAGACAUUGUGAAAUACGUCAUUGUAUAACAGAAUGACAGAUACGUGUGGCACACAGUAUAAUUAUAUAUACUUCCAGAAACAGAACGUCUAAAUAAAGAACAAGUUGAUAGCA